AUUACUGGGCGUAAAGCGCAUGCAGGUGGUUUGUUAAGUCAGAUGUGAAAGCCCGGGGCUCAACCUCGGAAUUGCAUUUGAAACUGGCAGACUAGAGUACUGUAGAGGGGGGUAGAAUUUCAGGUGUAGCGGUGAAAUGCGUAGAGAUCUGAAGGAAUACCGGUGGCGAAGGCGGCCCCCUGGACAGAUACUGACACUCAGAUGCGAAAGCGUGGGGAGCAAACAGGAUUAGAUACCCUGGUAGUCCACGCCGUAAACGAUGUCUA
This 266-nucleotide ribosomal RNA is filed under the name Vibrio parahaemolyticus. Its description in RNAcentral is "partial 16S ribosomal RNA". It matches the Rfam family "Bacterial small subunit ribosomal RNA", at positions 550 to 815 of the family's 1533-position model. The record is from RNAcentral. Lineage: Bacteria; Pseudomonadati; Pseudomonadota; Gammaproteobacteria; Vibrionales; Vibrionaceae.